AGUGAACGCUGGCGGUAGGCCUAACACAUGCAAGUCGAACGGCAGCACCGUAAGAGCUUGCUCUUACGGGUGGCGAGUGGCGGACGGGUGAGGAAUACAUCGGAAUCUACUUUUUCGUGGGGGAUAACGUAGGGAAACUUACGCUAAUACCGCAUACGACCUACGGGUGAAAGCAGGGGAUCUUCGGACCUUGCGCGAUUGAAUGAGCCGAUGUCGGAUUAGCUAGUUGGCGGGGUAAAGGCCCACCAAGGCGACGAUCCGUAGCUGGUCUGAGAGGAUGAUCAGCCACACUGGAACUGAGACACGGUCCAGACGCCUACGGGAGGCAGCAGUGGGGAAUAUUGGACAAUGGGCGCAAGCCUGAUCCAGCCAUACCGCGUGGGUGAAGAAGGCCUUCGGGUUGUAAAGCCCUUUUGUUGGGAAAGAAAAGCAGCAGGUUAAUACCCCGCUGUUCUGACGGUACCCAAAGAAUAAGCACCGGCUAACUUCGUG
Molecule: ribosomal RNA, 492 nt
Filed under: uncultured bacterium
Lineage: Bacteria
Description: partial 16S ribosomal RNA
Rfam family: Bacterial small subunit ribosomal RNA
Source: RNAcentral